UACGGAGGGUGCAAGCGUUAUCCGGAUUCACUGGGUUUAAAGGGUGUGUAGGCGGGUAUUUAAGUCAGCGGUGAAAUCUCCAGGCUCAACCUGGAAACUGCCAUUGAUACUAUUUAUCUUGAAUAUUGUUGAGGUGGGCGGAAUAUGUCAUGUAGCGGUGAAAUGCAUAGAGAUGACAUAGAACACCAAUUGCGAAGGCAGCUCACUAAACAAUCAUUGACGCUGAGGCACGAAAGCGUGGGGAUCAAACAGG
This 253-nucleotide ribosomal RNA is filed under the name uncultured bacterium. RNAcentral describes it as "partial 16S ribosomal RNA". It matches the Rfam family "Bacterial small subunit ribosomal RNA", at positions 524 to 776 of the family's 1533-position model. The record is from RNAcentral.